AGCUCCUGCCGCCCUACCUGGUGGAAUCAAUUGUCCCAUCCAGGAGCCUUGGCAAUGGUCUCUGUGCAGAGGAAAUAUGAAUCACCAAUGAGAAUUUUUCUUGUCAGAGAAUCUAAGAAGUUGGUCAUACAUAUCCUCAACCUCCAGCCUGCAAAAUGGACCAGUCAUGUGACAGGAAGUCUGUAAGACAGAAUAUUUAUCAAUCUUCUUUCAAACAGAUGCAAAAUCUAAUUAAAACAGAAAGAGGAUUACCUAUUUUUUAUGUUUACUUGUGAAAAAAUUGUUAGAAUGCUAUGAACUAAAAAGCAUGAUAGUUCUGAUGAAUUAUUACCCUGAUCAUUGUAUUUUCUUGGAAAUGAAACAUGUGUCCUUGUGUAGUUUCCAAUAAAUAUCAAAAGACAA
This is a non-coding RNA of Macaca mulatta (Rhesus monkey), 402 nucleotides long. NCBI's taxonomy places the organism in Eukaryota, Metazoa, Chordata, Mammalia, Primates, Cercopithecidae. The record is from RefSeq and is a predicted model, not a curated record.